CUUGGUUCAGGAUGAACGCUGGCGGCGUGCCUAAUACAUGCAAGUCGAACGAGGGUGCUUGCACCCUAGUGGCGAACGGGUUAAUAACACGUAGGUAACCUGCCCUUAAGCUUGGGAUACCCAGAGGAAACUUUGGCUAAUACCGGAUAACAACAGAUGAGGCAUCUCAACUGUUUGAAAGGCCCUUUACGGGGUCACUUAAGGAUGGACCAGCGGCGCAUUAGCUAGUUGGUGAGAUAACAGCCCACCAAGGCGAGGAUGCGUAGCCGAACUGAGAGGUUGAUCGGCAACAUUGGAACUGAGACACGGUCCAAACUCCUACGGGAGGCAGCAGUAAGGAGUUUUUCGGCAAUGGGGGAAACCCUGACCGAGCAACGCCGCGUGAGUGAAUGACGGCCCUAUGGGUUGUAAAGCUCUUUUAUUAGAGACGAAUGGUGGGUUUAGGAAAUGAAACCCACUUGACUGUAUCUUUUGAAUAAGCCACGGCUAACUACGUGCCAGCAGCCGC
Molecule: ribosomal RNA, 508 nt
Filed under: uncultured bacterium
Lineage: Bacteria
Description: bacterial SSU rRNA
Rfam family: Bacterial small subunit ribosomal RNA
Source: RNAcentral